Molecule: ribosomal RNA, 286 nt
Filed under: uncultured bacterium
Lineage: Bacteria
Description: partial 16S ribosomal RNA
Rfam family: Bacterial small subunit ribosomal RNA
Source: RNAcentral
GGCGGCCUACGGGGGGCAGCAGUGGGGGAUAUUGCACAAUGGGGGGAACCCUGAUGCAGCGACGCCGCGUGGGUGAAGGAGCGUUUCGGCGCGUAAAGCCCUAUCGGCAGGGAAGAAGGAGGACGGUACCUGACUAAGAAGCCCCGGCUAACUACGUGCCAGCAGCCGCGGUAAUACGUAGGGGGCAAGCGUUAUCCGGAUUUACUGGGUGUAAAGGGAGCGUAGACGGCGAUGCCAGUCUGAAGUGAAAGGCGGGGGCCCAACCCCCGGACUGCUUUGGGAACUG